Molecule: ribosomal RNA, 496 nt
Filed under: uncultured eukaryote
Lineage: Eukaryota
Description: SSU rRNA
Rfam family: Eukaryotic small subunit ribosomal RNA
Source: RNAcentral
UAGUCAUAUGCUUGUCUCAAAGACUAAGCCAUGCAUGUCUAAGUAUAAGUAUUAUACAGCGAAACUGCGAAUGGCUCAUUAAAACAGUUAUAGUUUAUUUGGUGAUCUCUCAUUACAUGGAUAACCGUGGUAAUUCUAGAGCUAAUACAUGCGUACAGGGCCGUUAGGCUUGUAUUUAUUAGAUAACAGACCAAUUAAGUGGUGACUCAUAGUAACUGAUCGGAUCGCACGGGCUUGCCCGCGAUAAAUCAUUCAAGUUUCUGCCCCAUCAGCUGUAGAUGGUAGUGUAUUGGACUACCAUGGCUUUCACGGGUAACGGAGGAUUAGGGUUCGAUUCCGGAGAGGGAGCCUGAGAAACGGCUACCACAUCUAAGGAAGGCAGCAGGCGCGUAAAUUACCCAAUACUGAUUCAGUGAGGUAGUGACAAGAAAUAGCGGGCCGGCCAAGUGCCGGGACUGAAAUGAUUAGAAUUUAACGACCUUUACGAGGAACAAUA